This is a long non-coding RNA of Oryzias melastigma (Indian medaka), 1437 nucleotides long. RefSeq lists it as uncharacterized. The transcript has 3 exons. Lineage: Eukaryota; Metazoa; Chordata; Actinopteri; Beloniformes; Adrianichthyidae. The record is from RefSeq and is a predicted model, not a curated record.
UAUUCAAAUUUUUUAAUGUAGCAUUUUUUAUACUAUUCCCAAAAUGUAUUACAUAGUUACAAAUCAAGAAUUACAAAUAGAAAGUACAGCACAAGUAAAGAAUUACACAAACACACAAAUAUUAAUUUAUGCUUCUAAUGAAGAAUCGUGCUUGCAAAUCUGAGGGUUUGUUUUCUCUAAAUAUGGAUUUUACAUGAAAUACUCUGUCAAAUUUGCCACUAAAUUUUAUUUUUUUUUAUUUUUACUUGUUUACCUCAUAAAAACACAGAUGCUAAUCAACUAUUCUCAUUGUUAUUUUUAUUCUUGAUGUUUUUUAGAUUCCGCUUUUCUGCAUUUGGGAAGUCCAGGAAAAUCAUCGUUACAAAAGAUGACACGUUUUCAAGUAUUUCCCAGCUACCUCCAGAAAUUAUGAAAUGCCUUGAAAAAGAAAGUGUGCAGCUACAAAGUGGCAACUGGAGUAGUGUCUGAAGACUUGGGUAUUCCAAAUACCAAAACAAAUCGUACGAGACUACAAAAUGUGUACAUUCAUCAUAAAGGGUCCCAUACUGUAGUGGAGUUGGUGCCAUCCAGUCCCGUCUCAGAAAAAGAUGACCAAACAAACAGUUUUGCAUACCCCAGACUCAGCAGCCGCCUCUCAGUGCUCAACCAAAUCACCUAUCCGAGAUAUAUCUGAGGUGACUGUUAUUUUGUCAGAAAUAUCAAUGUUUGUUAGUUAGUUUUCAUCUAAAAUUACAUAUUACAUUUUCUCGACACACUUUUCUUUGUAAUCUGCAGGACAUAGAGACAACCAAGGAGUCCAGCUCUUCAGCUGGAAGUGAAUCAAAGAAAACAUAUUUCAUUCAUAAAUGGAAAAAAAAAUAGAUUUUUUUCAUUCCACAAAAUGCUUGGAUAAAACUUAGGCAAAAACAGAAGCGACAAUUUAAAACUCUGCAUUGGACGAACAUCAUCGCUAAAGGAAUUAAACAGAUCAAUCCUUUUUGCAGCUUUGCCUUCAAGAGACACAGUGUGAAGUCCCCUGGAUCUCAGAAAAAAUCUCCUCUGUCUGCUCUGCAAAAUGCACUUUUGAUGACGAUCCUAUUACGGUCAAGGUCAAUAUGAAAAAUUAGAACACACUUAAAGCAGAUGUAGUUUUUCUGGGGGAGACUGUCACGGAAAUUAUACAUUUGCUUAUGUCUCAUCCUCUGAGUCUUGUUUUCUUGUUGUCAGAACACCCUGACCACAAUGUGUAAACAUUUUGAUUUCAUUAGAACAUCUUGUCCACAUUAGAUAUGACACUUACAUUUCCAUCUUAAGCUCCUGAUUAACAGCCGAUUGUAUGACUGUAUAAAAUGUGAGCGUCCAUCACAGAUCAGGGCUCUGCAGACCUCUCCGCCAUGCUCGCCAACGUGUACUUUUUUCUGCUCUGUUUAAUAAACUUUCAUGAAAACGUUUGACAUU